GACGAACGCUGGCGGCGUGCCUAAUACAUGCAAGUCGAGCGAAGAUUUUCUGGUGCUUGCGCUAGAAAGACUUAGCGGCGAACGGGUGAGUAACACGUAAAGAACCUGCCUCAUAGACUGGGACAACUAUUGGAAACGAUAGCUCAUACCGGAUAACAGUAUUUCUCGCUUGAGAGAGAUUAAAAACUUGGUUAUGCUAACACUAUGAGAUGUCUUUGCGGUGCAUUAGCUAGUUGGCGGGCUAAAGGCCCACCAAGGGGACGAGGCAUAGCCGAGCGGUGUGGGUGAUAGCCGACACUGGAACGGAGACACGCCCCAGGCGCCUGCGGGAGGCACCAGUAGGGAAUCUGCGGCAAUAGGCGAAAGCCUGACGGAACGACGCCACGUGAGAGAAGAAGAAGUUCGGUGCGUAAAGCCCUGUUGUUGGUGAAGAAUCGAUUUGUAGUAACAAGACACGUAAGUGACGGUACCUAACCAAAAAGCAACGGCUAACUACGUG
RNAcentral lists this ribosomal RNA (499 nucleotides) under uncultured bacterium. RNAcentral describes it as "partial 16S ribosomal RNA". It matches the Rfam family "Bacterial small subunit ribosomal RNA", at positions 28 to 507 of the family's 1533-position model. The record is from RNAcentral.